Labeo rohita (rohu) is the source of this 593-nucleotide long non-coding RNA. RefSeq lists it as uncharacterized. The transcript is spliced from 4 exons. The record is from RefSeq and is a predicted model, not a curated record. Lineage: Eukaryota; Metazoa; Chordata; Actinopteri; Cypriniformes; Cyprinidae.
GGAAGACAGAAAUAUUUGUAAUUUCUUGAUUCGAACGGGUCUGGUGAGGACCGGAGGAAAUAAACUGGAGUAAUAUUGCAGGGAAGUAAUCCAGAAGGUGGCGGUAAUGCAAAACUUGGAUGGCUUGGAUAACUUGGAUUUGGAUCGCCGUUAAACCUCAAAGAAGAAGAAUACGACUCAACAACGCGCGCUCAAUACGUCAGUGGACAAGACAAACUUUAAGAGAAGUACUUUAGCAAAUGAGGACAUUAGGAUGGCCAGUCUGUUAGCCGUCAUCCAAAUCUACAAACACAUAGCAGUUUAACGACACGGGGUGUUUUACCAGAGACUGAAAUUUGCGUGGGAAUCGGACUACGCCACAAACAACCGUAAAUCUGUUUAGCUGCUGUAUCCGAGGAGCGAGGAAAGGACUUUUUCUUGAGAUGAAUUACUUACAGAAACAGAGUGUGAGAUCAUUCUCACAUGUGUCCAGUUCUGUGUCUGUGAAGAGUCACCAUUCAAAAGGUGGCAUGCCAAACUUCCAUGAGAAAAAAGCUUCUGUUAAAAGGAAAAGAUCAGACUCACAUAUGUUCAGCUCUGUGUAUGUGAAGAGU